This 1587-nucleotide long non-coding RNA is filed under the name Olea europaea subsp. europaea. The record is from RNAcentral. Lineage: Eukaryota; Viridiplantae; Streptophyta; Magnoliopsida; Lamiales; Oleaceae.
CAAGCCAUGUCUUAAAUAACCAAACAAAUGUAUUUGUAUCUUCAUUCGAAACUAAUCCACAACCAAAUAAAGUUGAUUGCCCAUGGUGAUUCACCCCUACGAAAGGAGCGAACGACAUAUCGUACUUGUUAGUCAGAUAAGUGGUGUCAAAAGUAACUACAUCACCGAAUUCUUUAUAUGCUUGCCUGCAUCUAUUAUCCGCCCAAAACACAUUACUUAACUGAGACUCCUCAUCCAAGUCUAUACUGAAAUAAAAACCAGGACUACAUGCUUGUAUUUUCGAGAAGUAACUCUGUAAUGCAGCAACGUCUCCUUCACCAAGUCUUAAACGCCGCACUUUAUCAAUGAAAUUCCUACAGUCUUUCUCGACACAAGUCAUGUUCUCUAAUCCCCCGCCUCCAAUACAGUUGAGUUAUAGCUUUUAUGCAAUGGGAUCUCUGCUAUGUCAUUGACCUCAAGCCGUCUUUUAACGUGUGCACUAAGUUCCCGAUUGCAUCGAUAUAACCUAGAUUUAGAUGGGCUUGUCUUAUGGUUAUGCUCUAACUCCACAACAUUUAUUCGCCAUAUUCCAUGAGCAUCAGAACACGCUGUCAACCUUGCUCUGCAACCUAUUUCAAUCGUUGGCGGAGGGUUUAAAGAACUAUUUCUAUUAGUCUUCCGUCGACCUUCUCGACUACAAGUAAAACUCACGUAUCGAACAACCCCAUCAUCACCCUUCUUAGAGUUUCUUUUUCUCACAGGAAAGCCUAUUUCACAAGCAUACUUCUUGUAGAAUUCAAAUAACUCCCCCUCACUGUCAAAUUUCAUGCCAACCUUCGGAAUCGAAAUCUCAUUUUCUAAUCCCAACAUAUCAUCAGCCAAACAAUCAUCAUUGCCGAACUUGGCUGAGUAUUGCUCCAUUCCUGUAUGUGACCAAUUCAAAAGUAUGCACAAAGUUACCAAUUUAUUUUUUUUGUUAACUGAAACUUCAUACUUAUUCAUCAAAAUAUUGCAUUCCAAAUGACAAAUGCACAAAGUUACCAAUUUUGUCGUUGUAGUCCAGAAUGUCGUCGGACGCAUGACUAUCCUUUGUUUGUUGGUUAUUCUGGGUUUGCUCAUCUAUAGCAGAGGAAGAAGAUGAACAAACGUAUAAAAAGGACGCAAAAGUGUGCAAAAAGGAAGAAGAUGAACAAACUUUGCCAAAAUAAAAUUGAAAGUUAUGGUAACAUUGCUGCAGCACUCGCCGUCGACUUGCUCGCCUUCCACUUCCUCUCCGUCGACUUCCUCGCCGUCCAUACUGGGUUUAGUCUCCUUGCCCGGCUUCCAUCUUCUACAGUCCUUUGUCGAUGUGAAUGAGGAAAAUGUGAAACUUUACAAAAAAAAAAAUAAUAAUAAUAAAAUAAAAUAAAAUCUGAAGGGAACGAUCGUUGUAUGGCUGCUUUCCUACAAUCGAUUCACGUCGAAGGAGGGAAAUGUCCAAAAUCGAAGGAGGGAAAUGGAAGGGAGGGAACUGUGAAGAGCACGAGGCACGAAGGCUUUCUAUUUUGGUUUCAAUUUUUGCUAUUUUAUUUUUUGCCUUUCAUUUUGGCAAAAUAUCCUCAAAAUCUC